RNAcentral lists this ribosomal RNA (253 nucleotides) under uncultured bacterium. RNAcentral's name for it is "partial 16S ribosomal RNA". It matches the Rfam family "Bacterial small subunit ribosomal RNA", at positions 524 to 776 of the family's 1533-position model. The record is from RNAcentral.
UACGUAGGGUGCGAGCGUUAAUCGGAAUUACUGGGCGUAAAGCGUGCGCAGGCGGCUUGCCAAGUCAGAUGUGAAAGCCCCGGGCUCAACCCGGGAACGGCGUUUGAAACUGGCAGGCUAGAGUUUGGCAGAGGGGGGUGGAAUUCCACGUGUAGCAGUGAAAUGCGUAGAGAUCCGGAGGAACACCGACGGCGAAGGCAGCGCCCUGGCCGCCAUCUGACGCUCAGGCACGAAAGCUGGGGGAGCGAACAGG